This 319-nucleotide ribosomal RNA is filed under the name uncultured eukaryote. RNAcentral describes it as "partial 18S ribosomal RNA". It matches the Rfam family "Eukaryotic small subunit ribosomal RNA", at positions 1470 to 1796 of the family's 1831-position model. The record is from RNAcentral.
CCCUUAGAUGUUCUGGGCUGCACGCGCGCUACACUGACGCACGCAACAGGUGCCUGCUCCGAGAGGACUGGGUAAUCAUUUGAGUGUGCGUCGUGAUGGGGAUAGAAUAUUGUAAUUAUUACUCUUCAACGAGGAAUUCCUAGUAAGCGCCAGUCAGCAGCUUGCGCUGAUUACGUCCCUGCCCUUUGUACACACCGCCCGUCGCUCCUACCGAUUGGAUGAUCCGGUGAGCUAUUCGGACUUUCGCAUUGUCGAUUUUCGGCUUUACGAGGGAAAGUCUCGCGAACCUUAUCAUCUAGAGGAAGGAGAAGUCGUAACA